GACGAACGCUGGCGGCGUGCUUAACACAUGCAAGUCGAACGGAAAGGCCCUGCUUUUGUGGGGUGCUCGAGUGGCGAACGGGUGAGUAACACGUGAGUAACCUGCCCUUGACUUUGGGAUAACUUCAGGAAACUGGGGCUAAUACCGGAUAGGAGCUCCUGCUGCAUGGGGGGGGUUGGAAAGUUUCGGCGGUUGGGGAUGGACUCGGGGCUUAUCAGCUUGUUGGGGGGGUAGUGGCUUACCAAGGGUUUGCUGGGUAGCCGGCCUGAGAGGGUGACCGGCCACAUGGGAACUGGGACACGGGCGAGACUCCUAAGGGAGGCACCAGUGGGGAAUAUUGGACAAUGGGCGGAAGCCUGAUCCAGCCAUGCCGCGUGUGUGAAGACGGUCUUCGGAUUGUAGAGAACUUUAAGGUGGGGGGAAGGGAAGUAAGUUAAUACCUUGCUGUUUUGACGUUACCAAAAGAAUAAGCACCGGCUAACUUCGUG
This 488-nucleotide ribosomal RNA is filed under the name uncultured bacterium. Its description in RNAcentral is "partial 16S ribosomal RNA". It matches the Rfam family "Bacterial small subunit ribosomal RNA", at positions 28 to 507 of the family's 1533-position model. The record is from RNAcentral.